Molecule: ribosomal RNA, 497 nt
Filed under: uncultured bacterium
Lineage: Bacteria
Description: partial 16S ribosomal RNA
Rfam family: Bacterial small subunit ribosomal RNA
Source: RNAcentral
GAUGAACGCUGGCGGCGUGCCUAAUACAUGCAAGUCGAGCGAACAGACGAGGAGCUUGCUCCUUCGACGUUUGCGGCGGACGGGUGAGUAACACGUAGGUAACCUACCUAUAAGACUGGGAUAACUUCGGAACAACGGCGCUAACACCGUAUAAUAUUUCGAACCGCAUGGUUCGAUAGUGAAAGAUGAAUUUGCUAUCACUUAUAGAUGGACCUGCGCCGUAUUAGCUAGUUGGUAAGGUAACGGCUUACCAAGGCAACGAUACGUAGCCGACCUGAGAGGGUGAUCGGCCACACUGGAACUGAGACACGGUCCAGACUCCUACGGGAGGCAGCAGUAGGGAAUCUUCCGCGAUGGGCGAGAGCCUGACGGAGCAAAGUCGCGUGAGUGAUGAAGGUCUUCGGAUCGUAAAACUCUGUUAUUAGGGAAGAACAAACGUGUAAGUAACUGUGCACGUCUUGACGGUACCUAAUCAGAAAGCCACGGCUAACUACGUG